GAUGAAGAACGUAGCGAAAUGCGAUAACUAAUGUGAAUUGCAGAAUUCCGUGAAUCAUCGAGUCUUUGAACGCACAUUGCGCCCCCUGGUAUUCCGGGGGGCAUGCCUGUCCGAGCGUCAUUGCUGCCCAUCAAGCACGGCUUGUGUGUUGGGUCCUCGUCCCCCCCGGGGGACGUGCCCGAAAGGCAGCGGCGGCACCGCGUCCGGUCCUCGAGCGUAUGGGGCUUUGUCACCCGCUCUGCAGGCCCGGCCGGCGCUGGCCGACGCGAAAGCAACCAUUUUUUCGCCAGGUUGACCUCGGAUCAGGUAGGGAUACCCGCUGAACUUAAGCAUAUCAAUAGCGGAGGA
Molecule: unclassified non-coding RNA, 348 nt
Filed under: soil metagenome
Description: partial contains 5.8S ribosomal RNA, internal transcribed spacer 2, and large subunit ribosomal RNA
Rfam family: 5.8S ribosomal RNA (bases 1-120)
Source: RNAcentral